RNAcentral lists this ribosomal RNA (253 nucleotides) under uncultured bacterium. RNAcentral's name for it is "partial 16S ribosomal RNA". It matches the Rfam family "Bacterial small subunit ribosomal RNA", at positions 524 to 776 of the family's 1533-position model. The record is from RNAcentral.
UACGUAGGUGGCAAGCGUUGUCCGGAUUUAUUGGGCGUAAAGCGAGCGCAGGCGGUUUCUUAAGUCUGAUGUGAAAGCCCCCGGCUUAACCGGGGAGGGUCAUUGGAAACUGAGGAACUUGAGUGCAGAAGAGGAGAGUGGAAUUCCAUGUGUAGCGGUGAAAUGCGUAGAUAUAUGGAGGAACACCAGUGGCGAAGGCGACUCUCUGGUCUGUAACUGACGCUGAGGCUCGAAAGCGUGGGGAGCAAACAGG